UUUGCCCACCCUGGUUUAAACUAUAAACUGCCCAGCAAGGAUAUCAGGUCAACCCUGAAGAUCAGGAAGGGUGCAGGACAGCCUCCUGUGCCUGUUUCCCUAGGAAGGAACUUCUGUGGUCACCCAGAUGCUUCCUUUCUGCAGCCAGAGAUUUUCCUCAUGAAAGGCCCAGAGUCAAGAAGAAUCAGAUGAGUCCUUUGGUGGUCAGUGAACCGAGUGUGUGUCUGAUGGCCCUGAGUUACAUGAGUGCUGGGCUGUGAAGGAAGAUAUGCCAGCUGCCUCCCAGUUCUGAUGAGGACAACCCCCAGGACUGGCCAGGUCAGUUGUCUGGAAUCAUCACUGAACUCCCAUGGCUCUUUCAACUGACUACAUAAUGUGGCAAAGUCAAUGCUUAUCUGCUUGGCUAGGUGACAAAUGUGGACAUAUUUGACUUGUUAUUCAAUUUCUUACAAUAUUCUGUCAAACUGAAUUUAAGUAUGUAGUCAUUAAGGACUUAAAGAAAUAUAUGGAAGACAUUAUAGGGACAAUUGAUGGAAUUUGAAUACAGACUGUGCGUUAGAUAAUAAGAUUGUAUCAGUGUAAAAUGUCCUGAUUUUGACAAUAACUUCAUAGGAAUAAAGAUGUCCUUGUUCUUACGAGUGACACACUGAACUUUGUGGUGAAUCAAAGGACAAUUUCUCCUACUUAAUCUCAAAUACUUAAGAAAAAACAGCAAGAGAGAUUGAUUAAGUGAAUGGGGCAAUAUGUGAAACUGGUGAACCUGGAUAAAAAAAAAGAGGAGUUCCUUGUACUAUUCUUGCAACUUUUCUUUAAGUUUGAAAUUCUAUCUAAGUAAAAAGUUACCAGGAAAGAAAGGUGUGCAGUGGAGGAAGCAGAUGUGAGGUGUGCGCAUAGCCAGGAUGACCUGCUCAGACAAGCUGGAAGCAAAUGUGGACUUGCCAUUUAUUUUUCAGCCACUACGUAUUCAUUGUCCCUGUUUGCCUUAAAGUCUUAAAGGCUGGAAGUUUUCCUUGAACUGCCCUGGUGCUUACAGACAAAAGAGGGAGGAGGUCAGUCUUCAUUCCACACCCAAGUGCCCAGAGCCCGCUGCCACUUCUUCCUCCUGCCAUGAGGUGUCGCUGUGGAAGAUGCAUCUUUGGUAUCAGUUGUGUGAGGUGCCUCAGACCUGGCCGGCUGCCUUGGACUUGGAGGGAAAGCUACCCUGCAUGUACCAGGUGCUGUGGAGAAUGCACAGGAGGUUAAUGUCCUUUGGGGAUCGUGAUCAAUAAAUAUGCAGUGAAUUAAAGAUUUUGCCGCAAUUCCUCACCCCUCC
Molecule: long non-coding RNA, 1312 nt
Organism: Canis lupus familiaris (dog)
Lineage: Eukaryota; Metazoa; Chordata; Mammalia; Carnivora; Canidae
Exons: 3
Source: RefSeq, a predicted model, not a curated record